This 621-nucleotide long non-coding RNA is filed under the name Homo sapiens (human). Its description in RNAcentral is "HSALNT0217024". Lineage: Eukaryota; Metazoa; Chordata; Mammalia; Primates; Hominidae. The record is from RNAcentral.
CCCAUCCUCAGCAACAUCUGAUAUUAUUUGAGUUUUUAGUAAUAGUCAUUGUGACUGGUGGAAGAUGAUAUCUUAUUGUGGUUUUAAUUUGCAUUUCCCUGAUGGUUAGUGAUGUUGAGUAUUGUUUAUAUAUUUAUUAUCCAUUUCUAUGUGUUCUUUUGAAAAUGUCUACUCAUGUCCUUUGCUCAUUUUAACGGAGUUAUUUGGUUCUUGUUGCUGUUGUUGUUGUAGAGUUGUUUGAGUUCCUUGCAAAUUCUUCAUAUUAGUUCCCUGUCACAGGCAAAGUAGCAGGACCUUUCAUGCUGAAUCUUUGUCAAACAGGAUACAGCUUCUGCUUGCAUGAACCACUAACAGGGGACAUGCCAUUUAUUAGUAAAGAAGAGGGAGGAAAACAAGGCUCUGAGUCAGAUGGGGAUGGGAAACGCAGGCCCUGGCAGGAAAUGGCAUCUCAGCCACACUAUCCUGUUCUGCAGAGGUGGGGAGGGAGCACCACUGAGAAGCAGCCUGGGUUCUUGUACAGGAGGCGCCCUGGGCUGUGUCUCUGUGGUAUCCGUGCACAGUAAUACGUGGCUGUGUCCACAGGGUCCAUGUUGGUCAUUGUAAGGACCACCUGGUUUUUGG